UACUUUAUAGUACCUGCCAGUGGUCUGGCCAUCGGUCUAAUAAGCCGAUGCGUCUGAGUUCGAUUCUCAGUAGGUGUAG
Recurvomyces mirabilis is the source of this 79-nucleotide non-coding RNA. The record is from the annotation of a RefSeq genome assembly. NCBI's taxonomy places the organism in Eukaryota, Fungi, Ascomycota, Dothideomycetes, Mycosphaerellales, Teratosphaeriaceae.